AUAGGGCUCAGCACCCUACACGCUGUGGGGCUAGGAAUGGACAAGGCACUUUUCAGGGUGUCAUGGGUUGUUCCCAGCCCAGGCAACAUGCGUCAGCUGGAGAGGGCUGGACAGAGAGGGGUUUGCUGGGAUGGAUGAAUAGAGGGGACAGGGGAUGGACAGAUAGAGGGGAGAGAGAGGGCAGGGGAUGGACAGAGG
Long non-coding RNA from Dermochelys coriacea (leatherback sea turtle), 198 nucleotides. RefSeq lists it as uncharacterized. The transcript is spliced from 3 exons. Lineage: Eukaryota; Metazoa; Chordata; Testudines; Dermochelyidae. The record is from RefSeq and is a predicted model, not a curated record.